RNAcentral lists this transfer RNA (72 nucleotides) under Candidatus Staskawiczbacteria bacterium. Its description in RNAcentral is "tRNA-Thr". It matches the Rfam family "tRNA". Rfam says of the family: Transfer RNA (tRNA) molecules are approximately 80 nucleotides in length. Their secondary structure includes four short double-helical elements and three loops (D, anti-codon, and T loops). The record is from RNAcentral. Lineage: Bacteria; Candidatus Staskawicziibacteriota.
GCCGACAUAGCUCAGUGGUAGAGCAACACUUUCGUAAAGUGUGGGUCACAGGUUCAAAUCCUGUUGUCGGCU